Molecule: long non-coding RNA, 692 nt
Organism: Quercus robur (English oak)
Lineage: Eukaryota; Viridiplantae; Streptophyta; Magnoliopsida; Fagales; Fagaceae
Exons: 2
Source: RefSeq, a predicted model, not a curated record
UUAGAUUUGAAAAGAAAAGGGACUCCCUGCGAUCCAAAGAAGAGGUUUCAAGUAUAUCUCAAUCAAAAAAAAUAAAUAUUUAGCAUUUUUUUUAAUCCUACCAACCUUUUCAGUUUUCAAGAUUGUAACGACACCCCUCAUUCCCUCAGUGACAGUGAGACCAAAACCUCAAGUCUCAAAUGGUCAUGUGUGUGUGAACCCAAAUCACUAAACAUUGAAAACCCACCCCCUAAAAUUGGCAACCCCAAUUGGCUUAAUGGUUCCUGUUGAAAGCAGAUCAGCAAUCCUAAUUGGCUGUUAGUUUCCACUGUAAAGCUCUGCUUGUGUUGAGAUGUGAAAUUGAAGGUUGGUCCGCUGUGAAACAGGUAACCACCACGAAUUAAGAGUUUCUGAAGUUCCUUGCUGAAAGCUCAUCAUACGCAACUCAGAUUGAAUGAAGUGCAAGUGAGCAAAGUAUGUGUAGGUGCAAUGAAGAUAAUCAAAUUCAGCUCUAGAGAAUUAAGUGGCAUUGUGGCAGCAACCAAAUUUUGGAAAAUGCUGUAUAAAUUGGGAUUGCUUCAUGUAAUAGGAUUUAUGUACAAUUAAUUGACAUGAGUAUGUAAGGAAAUGAUGGGUACUGGCUUGUAAAAUUUCACAGUAUAGGAAUUAUCUAUGACUUUAUAUUUAGUGAAAUUCAUGUAUCAAUAUGUGCU